UUGGUUUUUUAAUUCUAAAUUUUGUAAAGUAAUAAAAAAAAAAAAUUCCACAAAUAUGAUAAUUUCUUUUUUCUUACAUCACAAAAAGAUUUAAAUAAAUUUUUUAUCGGAUAUUUUUCGAUUAUAUUAUAAUAUAUUUGAGGGAAGUCCAAAAAGAACAAGAGCAAUAUGAUUAUUAUUUAAUUAUUAAAAUUUAAUUGAAAAAAAAAAAUAAUAAUUGAUACCAUGUCUGAUAAAACAUCGAAAAAAUCAGGACAGAAAGCUGAUGAUAAAAAUUCAUCGAGUAAAGGAAAUAAAAAUGCAAAAAAUUCCCCGCCUCCUUCAAAAAAUAAUGCAACUGAUGAAUCAAAUUCAGAAAAUCCUUGUGAUGAGGAAUCAAUGGCUAUGAAAUUUUUUAAUAAUUUUCGUGAAAAAUAUUUUAAACCUAAAGAGGAACCGGAAGAAUAAAAAAAAAUUACUUAAAUUAAAAGAAAAAACAUUGAAAACUAAUUGAAAAUAUCUAUUUAAAUUUGAAUUUAAUUAACAAACCAAAAAAAAAAAAGGAAUCAAUUUUGCUAAUUAUCUUCCUCGACAAUAAAAUUAAUAAUAUAUAAUUACAAGGUAAAUACAUGACAACAAUA
Molecule: long non-coding RNA, 620 nt
Organism: Leptopilina boulardi
Lineage: Eukaryota; Metazoa; Arthropoda; Insecta; Hymenoptera; Figitidae
Exons: 4
Source: RefSeq, a predicted model, not a curated record